CAUUAAAUAAACACUAACCUAGUUAGGAAAAUUAGCCUACGUGUCAAAUUAAGCUGAUGUGGCAUGUGCUACGUGUCAUUUAAACUGAUUCAUAUAUCUUUAAGCACAACACCCUAACAAUUUGUUAGACACACCUUGUUAGCCCCAUCCCCACAAUUCCUUCAUCGACACCCACAGGCCAUCGACCACCAGUCAUCCACCCUUUUCACACUCUGAAUCAACCUCCAUCUCCGACCGCCACGCACUCCGAACAUCACCCCCAUCGACGCUGGUCUUCGUCUUCCGCCGUCAUCAUCGCCGGUUCCGAACAUUGACACUACAGCCCUACUUCUCCGCCCUCAACCUCCACCACCGCCGGCCCUCCACACGUCAUCGUCACCGGUCACGCACUUUGUGGCGCACCCCCUUCUCCAGCCAACCUCCGUCUCUCACCAGUCACCACUGUCACCGGCUCCGGUCACACAUCAACCGGCGGUCGUCUUUAAUCAGCCAUCCUCCCCACUACGUCGCUGCCGUCAGAUGCGGCAGUGAGGUAUGCAGCCCAGAUGUGAUAAGAGAAGAAGAUGAUGGUGGAAACGAUGAGGUCUGAAAGUGGGUGAGUGAAAGUGAACAUGAUCUGGUCAUUUGGAUGAUUUUGGGUGAGAAAGUGUGAGCGAUUAAGAUGAAUGUGAAAGGGAGGGUGAGAGUGAGGGUGAUUUGGGUGAAAAAGAUGU
Molecule: long non-coding RNA, 713 nt
Organism: Helianthus annuus (common sunflower)
Lineage: Eukaryota; Viridiplantae; Streptophyta; Magnoliopsida; Asterales; Asteraceae
Exons: 2
Source: RefSeq, a predicted model, not a curated record